GCGAACGCUGGCGGCAGGCUUAACACAUGCAAGUCGAGCGGGCGUAGCAAUGCGUCAGCGGCAGACGGGUUAGUAACGCGUGGGAACAUGCCCUUUGGUUCGGAACAACACAGCGAAACUCGUGCUAAUACCGGAUAAGCCCUUACGGGGAAAGAUUUAUCGCCGAAAGAUUGGCCCGCGUCUGAUUAGCUAGUUGGUGAGGUAACGGCUCACCAAGGCGACGAUCAGUAGCUGGUCUGAGAGGAUGAUCAGCCACAGUGGGACUGAGACACGGCCCAGACUCCUACGGGAGGCAGCAGUGGGGAAUAUUGGACAAUGGGCGCAAGCCUGAUCCAGCCAUGCCGCGUGAGUGAUGAAGGCCCUAGGGUUGUAAAGCUCUUUUGUGCGGGAAGAUAAUGACGGUACCGCAAGAAUAAGCCCCGGCUAACUUCGU
RNAcentral lists this ribosomal RNA (433 nucleotides) under uncultured bacterium. Its description in RNAcentral is "bacterial SSU rRNA". It matches the Rfam family "Bacterial small subunit ribosomal RNA", at positions 29 to 506 of the family's 1533-position model. The record is from RNAcentral.